UACGAAGGGGGCUAGCGUUGUUCGGAAUUACUGGGCGUAAAGCGUAUGCAGGCGGAUCGUUAAGUCGGGGGUGAAAUCCCGAGGCUCAACCUCGGAACUGCCUUCGAUACUGGCGAUCUUGAGUCCGGGAGAGGUGAGUGGAACUCCGAGUGUAGAGGUGAAAUUCGUAGAUAUUCGGAAGAACACCAGUGGCGAAGGCGGCUCACUGGCCCGGUACUGACGCUGAGAUACGAAAGCGUGGGGAGCAAACGGG
Molecule: ribosomal RNA, 253 nt
Filed under: uncultured bacterium
Lineage: Bacteria
Description: partial 16S ribosomal RNA
Rfam family: Bacterial small subunit ribosomal RNA
Source: RNAcentral